UACGGGGGGGGCAAGCGUUGUUCGGAAUUACUGGGCGUAAAGGGCUCGUAGGCGGCCAACUAAGUCGGACGUGAAAUCCCUCGGCUUAACCGGGGAACUGCGUCUGAUACUGGAUGGCUUGAGUUUGGGAGAGGGAUGCGGAAUUCCAGGUGUAGCGGUGAAAUGCGUAGAUAUCUGGAGGAACACCCGAGGCGAAGGCGGCUCUCUGGGUCGUACCUGACGCUGAGGCGCGAAAGCGUGGGGAGCGAACGGG
Molecule: ribosomal RNA, 253 nt
Filed under: uncultured bacterium
Lineage: Bacteria
Description: partial 16S ribosomal RNA
Rfam family: Bacterial small subunit ribosomal RNA
Source: RNAcentral